Molecule: long non-coding RNA, 487 nt
Organism: Engraulis encrasicolus (European anchovy)
Lineage: Eukaryota; Metazoa; Chordata; Actinopteri; Clupeiformes; Engraulidae
Exons: 3
Source: RefSeq, a predicted model, not a curated record
GUCCUCCGCAACAACACAACCUGGAGAAGACGCAGAGCACCAGAGUGUGGAAGAGUCAGACGCUGAGCCGCCCAUCUCCGACUACCUGCGGAAGCUUCUGGAAGAGGUCUACAAGAGUGUGGCCAAAGAACUCUAUGGCUCAGCCACGGCCCCUGACUUUGUGUGGAGCAGCAAGCUAAAAUCAGCAUCUGCACCCUGCAUCACCACUGAAAAGCAAGACUCAACUGUUGGGUUGAAAAAGGGGAGUCAACGACCGAAAAGGUGUGUCUGACAGAUGCACAUGCAUGCACACAUGCACGCAUGCACAAGCACAGAGAGAGACAGAGAUAGAGACAGAGACACCUUUUGUAGGUACGGCUGACCAUGCAUGAAUCCCAUCACAUGCCUUUCAGCGCACUGCAUGUACUGUAGCUUGAAGAACUUUUAUGAGGUUUAUAGCAGGUUUAGUGUUUGGAAACUACUAUGACUCCAACAAAGACAGACUCAA